UGGUUCUCGCAUCGAUGAAGAACGCAGCGAAAUGCGAUAAGUAAUGUGAAUUGCAGAAUUCAGUGAAUCAUCGAAUCUUUGAACGCACAUUGCGCCCCAUGGUAUUCCGUAGGGCACGUCUGUCUGAACGUCAUUAUAUACUCAGGCUCAGCCUGGUGAUGGGGGUGGCUAGCGCCGCUUCAGUAAACCGUCGGCGGAGGCCGCCGUGGGCCGAUACGAUGAACAUCUUUGUCGGACCCUAGGUGGGCAGCCUGCCAUAAGAACCAGGAUUGACUUCAGGUCAGACGAGGUUACCCGCUGA
RNAcentral lists this unclassified non-coding RNA (301 nucleotides) under uncultured fungus. RNAcentral describes it as "partial contains 5.8S ribosomal RNA and internal transcribed spacer 2". The stretch from base 1 to 133 matches the Rfam family "5.8S ribosomal RNA", at positions 22 to 154 of the family's 154-position model. The record is from RNAcentral. Lineage: Eukaryota; Fungi.